CACAGCUCCCCGUACUGGUGCCGCCGCAGUAGCCAAGUUGCGACACUGCCCACGGCCCCUCCCUCUGAUGCAGAUUCAGGGCUUCUCUUCGAUCAUGUUGGGUUUUGAUUCUGUUUUUCCUUGACUGCAAAACCCUCUUUCCUCUCCUCUUUUGGGACAAGAGCCCUGGUUUUCUACGCUGCCCUUGGCCACCACACUGCCUGCCCCACGAGCUGGGAGGCAGGUUUUGUACAGUACGUUGUUAUUGAUAUGAUAUAAAACAUCAAACGUCAAAAA
RNAcentral lists this long non-coding RNA (276 nucleotides) under Homo sapiens (human). Lineage: Eukaryota; Metazoa; Chordata; Mammalia; Primates; Hominidae. The record is from RNAcentral.